AAACAGCUGGCUGCGGCGUUGUGUGCAAGUGUAAAAAGUAUACAAAUUGGUAAUAUGGAGGAAGUUAUUGAAGGAGAUAAGAGUCAGCGGCCUGACGAGAAAUGUAUCUUAGAGGAGGAACUAGCCAGGCCAGAGGAACCUUCUUGUGGAAACAGAAAAACAGCUUGACAAAAUAGAAACAUCAUUAACGAAACCUGCAACCAAUCAUGAGAGCAAUGCCCUAGCGCAGGCACCGGAUCCCCAAGAAGCAAAAAUAUGCGUAUUUGGGGGAAAAAUUCAAGUGUAUGGUUACAUGAAAAAGAAGGUUUUGAGCCAUUUAGAAGAAAAUGGUUGUAGCCCUAGAAGCGUUGAUGAAGUGAUUACUGCUUCGAAAUUUAACAAACAGUAUACUCGGGAAAAUAUGAAGUAUAAUUUUCUCGGUACCUAUUCAUUUAAAUCGCAGUUCGCAUAAAUUGUAGACUAUAUGAAUCAGCGUAUCGAGAUGGCUGAAACUAAUGUACAUGAGGAGUGCGGAUCACUGAGUUUUAACAACAUAGCAAUUUAAAAAAUGGAAUUUGCCAGAGUUAUGCUCAUAUGAACCUGGCUUAGUUAUCAAUGCAAUAGCGAACAAAGAGGAAGAGCUAGAGGGUGUGGAC
Long non-coding RNA from Anastrepha obliqua, 635 nucleotides. RefSeq lists it as uncharacterized. Lineage: Eukaryota; Metazoa; Arthropoda; Insecta; Diptera; Tephritidae. The record is from RefSeq and is a predicted model, not a curated record. The transcript is spliced from 3 exons.